Non-coding RNA from Meleagris gallopavo (turkey), 4100 nucleotides. NCBI's taxonomy places the organism in Eukaryota, Metazoa, Chordata, Aves, Galliformes, Phasianidae. The record is from RefSeq and is a predicted model, not a curated record.
CAAAAUCAACAUUAUAAUCCUGCUUUUGUUUCCCUACAGAUGAUGAAAUAUGCCUGGGAUAAUUAUAAGCGUUAUGCAUGGGGAUUAAAUGAACUGAAGCCCAUAUCUAAGCAAGGACAUUCGAGCAAUUUAUUUGGUAACAUUCAAGGAGCAACAAUAGUGGAUGCCCUUGAUACACUGUACAUCAUGGAAAUGAAAGAGGAAUUCAAGGAAGCCAAGGAGUGGGUUGAAAAAAACUUAGAUUUCAAUGUGGUAAGUAGUGUUAAUGAUUAAUACUUAAUGGUUUGUUUAGUAUCUAAGAACUAACCUAACUGAGGACUGGAUUGUAAUGUUGCAAGUAUGAUAUCAGGCUACAGCAUUUAGAUAAUCAAUAGCUAAAAUGUAGCAAGAAGCAGGAAUGUAUUGAAUUUACUGCGCUGCCUAGCGGCAGUUUUUCAGUUUGAGAGAUUUAUGUAGACAGGAGGCAAUGAACUGAGCAAGGAAAAGGUAAUAAGGGUAUUGUUGUAAAAUUUGCAACAAACUUUUAAAUGUAUUUGGAUAGAAUUAUCAGGACUUCAAUGCAAAUAUUAUUUAUUAGCUACAUAAAGACUUAAUAAUUUUUCUUUCUGAAAUAUUCCAUAAGUUAGACUUACAUUUAGAGAAGGCUACGCGUAGCACAUAAUCAUUUAAAUUCCUUGGAGUAUUCCGGUAAAGCUCAAUCCCAUGACUUAUACUGAACUCAGCUCAGCUCAAACUGCUUUAGCCACAUGAGGCACUAGGUCAUUAAACCUGCAUGUACAAAUCAUCCUAUUAACUGGUAAGUAUGCACUUGAGAGUUCAUUUAUAAAGCUUUUAUUCCUGAAAUGUUCUUGCACAGAACAGCUAGAGCAACUAUAAAACUUCAGUUAAAUUGAGAAGGUCUGGUCUUGGUCCUUUUUUUUCUUCUUUUUUGUGGGCAUGAGAAUGUAAUAUAAUUAUUGGGUGCAGAGAGAUAAUGGAGUAGCUCCACUGCUCAGAGUAGUCCCAGUAAAGUGUAAUAAAGCAUUGUAGGCACAGUGCACUGAGCUCUGUAAACCUCUUGCAGUUAAGGUGCAUCAUGGUGGAAACACUUUUGGCAAACAAAGUACCCUUUCUAAUGUAUAAAACUCAUGUUUAAUUAGCUUCUCUUACAUACUUGAGAAAUAAUUAUCAAUUUAAGAAAGAGGUAUUAAUAAGAGAGGAUAUUAUAUAGUUUAUAUAAACAGCAAUUUAGCAUGCAUUUAUAUUUAUGUUAAUGAUAUAAAUACAGAAUAUUAAACUGUGCUUCUGAGUAGCAUCAUAUGUCUGAACAACACUAAGUAUAUCCUCAGCGAAAGAAUAUUUCUGUAGAAAUUUUUAUGAUGCAAAAUUUUUGUCUCUUUAUCUUAGCAUUAGGAACUAAAAAAUGUAAGAACAAAAUAUCAUAGAAAAUAACAAGACCUUCUUUGAAGGAAAAACUGAGCUCUGCUUGGAGGAAUGUUGUAAAACCUGUAAAGUGAUUUACAUUAAUAACAUUAAAAUCAUUAUUUUUUCAGAGGUCUUGCUAUUGUUUCUGUUGCAAACUUCUUACAGAUGGUGCUGCCUUACCAUUUCUGCUCCUCCUGUUAAUCUAAGCAUUACUGAGGAAGAAUCAGUCAAAGCUAUAAGAUUUCUGUCCAAAUGUCUGCAAUUUUGUAUUACAUUAGUCAGUCAGUGUAGUAAUCCAACAGAUUUACCAACACUACUUUACAGAUAAUAAUGUUAUGCAUCAAUAACAGUAUCUGAAAUACUGUCCUGAGUUCAGCAGCUCGCGCAGUGUUUUCAUAACACUUCAUAGUCAGACAGAGCUGAAUUAAUUUUCCCAAAUUAGAGUGAGGAAAUUAAAACAAGUAACACCAACUUUAGAAAUUAGUUAUUACUUUCAACUUUAAUAUUGGUCGCAUAAUCUGUUUGUUUAGUGACAGAGUUGAAUGAAGCUGCUUGUUUAGUUUUCCAUUUUAAGUUCCAAUUUCGAAUGCUGGUUUGUAUCUCAGUCUUACAGUGAAAAGACGGAAGUUACUUAAUGCAAAGUACACAGGACCUUUUUAAGUAUUUAAAGUGAAAGCAUAGCCAUGUUUCAGGCAUUAUGAAACAUUUUCUGCUUUAAUAUUGUUUGUAUAUUAUUACUUAUGUGUGUUUCAUAAGCCCUUUUCCUAUGAAAUUUAUUUGGUUUUUAAUAAUUGAUAUGUAGACCUACCUUUAAAAGCUAUUUAUUAGAAGUAUUAGAAAACAUUUUUAUUUUUUUUUAAUGUUUCUGGUCAUUUCCUAGGUAAUGACUACUUAACUGGCUUUUAAGGAAGCAUAUUUGACCUUAAUUUGUAUAAAUAGGAUUGGAUUUUCUAUACAUUAAAUCUUGGAACUGCUCUUUCUAAAUCUUUAAAAAUAUUCUUUAAAAAAAUCACUGAGUGUAAUCUGUGGAAGAAUCUUUUGAGUUUGUAUUCCAGCGCAAUGCAGCUGGAUAAUGGAAGCUAUCUUCUCUAAAAAUUAAUAAUACUUCAAAUACUCGGUGUAUGUCUUGAACCAUUUGGCUAGCAUUAUAUCAUUCUCAUUAUGCAGUCAUAAAAGUUUCCAAAUUUUACUUUGUAAUGUAGCCAUUAGUUUAUCUGCACAGAAGGAUUUUUAGAAUAAAGAUGUCAUAGUAGGAAAUGGCAUCAUUACUUCACAUUAGAUUUCAGUUCCUCCAUUCAAUAAAUUUUUUGGCUUCUCUGUUUCCUUUCUUGAGAAAUAUAGACAAGUUUCAAUCUAGGAAGAAAAUUCUGGAUAAGUAAAUGCCACCCUUCUUGGUAAACUUGUGAGUGAACUUGUUUGGAAGCAACCUCAUUUUGGAGUACAAUAAGCUGAGGCUGUUUUCAUUAGAACUGGAGCUGCCAGCCCUUUGUUUUUGAAACUGAGGUAUCUACACAUUGCAGUGCUCAGUAUCUAUGCAUGUAACUACUGAAAUUCUUUGUAUUUGAUACCUUGCUGAAGUUUCAGUCAAGCAAAACCAUUCUUUAGGGAUUUGCAUGCUCUUGUUCUGUUGAUAUUUUAAGAAAUGUAGACAUACUCAGACCUUUAGAAAUAUUUGACAUUUAGCAAUGGAUAAAUCCAUGGCGUUUGCAUCAUAGAGGUGCACUAUGUUUUAAAUAGCUUCACAUGUGUGGGGAUGUAUCUUUAAUCUUCAGUUAAUAAAGUUGAGGAUAUGCUCUGACCUCAGCACAUGCUGCAACUGAGGAAAAAAGACACUAUAUUUUACAGGACCACUAAGGAACUUGAUUGUUUCCUAUCUAUAACUACACACUUCUGUGCGCUUCUCUGUUUUUAUUUUCCCUAUUUGCUUUAGGGCAUGUACACAAACAAAGCACUCGUAGUUUUCUGUAAGAGUUUCUCUACCAACAGCCAACUUCUACUUCAUACCAGAGAAGAAAGGCUAUCAGACUUUGGUGAAGCAAAAUGAACUCAGCCUUGGGAAAAGAGAUUAAAAGAGAAGUCUCAAUAAAACAUAUGAAGAGUUCAGGAGCCAGUAAGUAAUGGUGGAGGAGCUUGGCCGUUUGGCACAGCACUGGAGGUUUAGGAGCUGUUAAGGACUAGAAUUGAUGGCACUUCACUUCUGUACCUGAACACUCGAUCUUCUUUAGGAUGAGAGGCUAGCAGAUCUGUCUUCUGAGUUUGAGGCAGAGGAACAAGCAGGAGAAGCAUGGGGAAGGCUCAGAGCUGGAGGCUUGCUUUUGAUCCUCCUCUCUGUUAUGAUAGAAAGAUGGAAGUGGUCUGUAACUAACUGGAUGCAGAAGAUGAAUUUAGUCUAAAGUUUUGGGGAAGGGAGGGUAGCUCAACCUCCAUGCUUAAAUGAAGCGCCCUCUAGCCAUGCUGAACUCCUUCCCCUCAGAAAGAUGAACUUGCCCAUACCGUGUAUUGGGAAUGGUCUUUGACAUAUCCUAUGUCCUCAGUCAUGCCUGGACUGGAACAAUGGAGACCAAAAUCUGACCAGACAGUGCUAACAAUGAAAUGCAAGGUUGAACAGUGCUUAGAUUCAUGCCUUGACCUGUUUAGCAUUCUAAAGUGGGUGAAAUGAGGCAGGACCAGAACAGAGAAAAGGUGUGGAGCAGAAA